GAACGCUUUGGAGGUUUCGGCCCCCAAGGAGUGGCGCACGGGUGAGUAGCGCGUGGGAACCUGCCCUGGAGUGGGGGAUAACCGCGGGAAACUGCGGCUAAUACCGCAUGCGCCCGGGGAGCCUCGAAAGGGGCAACUCGGGGAAAGAUUUAUCGCUCUAGGAGGGGCCCGCGUCGGAUUAGGUAGUUGGUGGGGUAACGGCCUACCAAGCCUGUGAUCCGUAGCUGGUCUGAGAGGAUGAUCAGCCACACUGGGACUGAGACACGGCCCAGACUCCUACGGGAGGCAGCAGUGGGGAAUAUUGGACAAUGGGGGCAACCCUGAUCCAGCAAUGCCGCGUGAGUGAUGAAGGCCUUCGGGUUGUAAAGCUCUUUCGCCCGCGACGAUGAUGACGGUAGCGGGAGAAGAAGCCCCGGCUAACUUCGUG
This 427-nucleotide ribosomal RNA is filed under the name uncultured bacterium. Its description in RNAcentral is "bacterial SSU rRNA". It matches the Rfam family "Bacterial small subunit ribosomal RNA", at positions 64 to 507 of the family's 1533-position model. The record is from RNAcentral.